ACUACGGGAGGCAGCAGUGGGGGAUAUUGCACAAUGGGGGAAACCCUGAUGCAGCGACGCCGCGUGAGUGAAGAAGUAUUUCGGGAUGGAAAGCUCGAUCAGCAGGGAAGAAAAUGACAGUACCUGACCAAGAAGCCCCGGCUAACUACGGGCCCGCAGCCGCGGUAAUACGGAGGGGGCAAGCGUUAUCCGGAUUUCCUGGGUGUAAAGGGAGCGUAGCCGGUUAGGUAAGUCUGGAGUGAAAGCCCGGGGCCCACCCCCGGGACUGCUUGGGAAACUGUGGAACUGGAGUACAGGAGGGGCAGGCGGAAUUCCUGGUGUAGCGGUGAAAUGCGUAGAUAUCAGGAGGAACCCCGGCGGCGAAGGCGGCCUGCUGGACU
RNAcentral lists this ribosomal RNA (380 nucleotides) under uncultured bacterium. RNAcentral describes it as "partial 16S ribosomal RNA". It matches the Rfam family "Bacterial small subunit ribosomal RNA", at positions 338 to 735 of the family's 1533-position model. The record is from RNAcentral.